GCUGGGCGUGGUGGUGUGCGCCUGUAAUCCCAGCUACAUGGGAGGCUGAGACAGGAGAAUUGCUUGAACUCAGGAGGCGGAGCUUGCAGUGAGCCAAGAUCGCGCCACUGCACUCCAGCCUGGGUGACAGAGUGAGACUCUGUCUCAA
RNAcentral lists this small RNA (148 nucleotides) under Macaca mulatta (Rhesus monkey). RNAcentral's name for it is "Metazoan signal recognition particle RNA (ENSMMUG00000064129.1)". The record is from Rfam by way of RNAcentral. Lineage: Eukaryota; Metazoa; Chordata; Mammalia; Primates; Cercopithecidae.